This 271-nucleotide ribosomal RNA is filed under the name uncultured bacterium. RNAcentral describes it as "partial 16S ribosomal RNA". It matches the Rfam family "Bacterial small subunit ribosomal RNA", at positions 524 to 794 of the family's 1533-position model. The record is from RNAcentral.
UACGGAGGAUGCAAGCGUUAUCCGGAAUCAUUGGGCGUAAAGAGUCCGUAGGUGGCACUUCAAGUCGACUUUCAAAGACCGAAGCUCAACUUCGGAAAGGGAGUGGAAACUGAAGAGCUAGAGUAUAGUAGGGGUAGAGGGAAUUCCUAGUGUAGCGGUGAAAUGCGUAGAGAUUAGGAAGAACACCAGUGGCGAAGGCGCUCUACUGGGCAUAUACUGACACUGAGGGACGAAAGCUAGGGUAGCGAAAGGGAUUAGAUACCCGCGUAGU